RNAcentral lists this ribosomal RNA (520 nucleotides) under uncultured Entrophospora. Its description in RNAcentral is "SSU rRNA". It matches the Rfam family "Eukaryotic small subunit ribosomal RNA", at positions 569 to 1086 of the family's 1831-position model. The record is from RNAcentral. Lineage: Eukaryota; Fungi; Glomeromycota; Glomeromycetes; Entrophosporales; Entrophosporaceae.
AGCAGCCGCGGUAAUUCCAGCUCCAAUAGCGUAUAUUAAAGUUGUUGCAGUUAAAAGCUCGUAGUUGAAUUUCGGGAUUGACACAUCGGUCGUGCCUUAAGGGGUAUGAACUGGUGUAGUCAAUUUCUCACCUUCUGGAGAACCGCGAUGCCCUUAAUUGGGUGUCACGGGGAACCAGGACCUUUACUUUGAAAAAUUAGAGUGUUUAAAGCAGGCAUUUUGCUUGAAUACAUUAGCAUGGAAUAAUAAAAUAGGACGGCAUGAUUCUAUUUUGUUGGUUUCUAGGAUCACCGUAAUGAUUAAUAGGGAUAGUUGGGGGCAUUAGUAUUCAAUUGUCAGAGGUGAAAUUCUUGGAUUUAUUGAAGACUAACUACUGCGAAAGCAUUUGCCAAGGAUGUUUUCAUUAAUCAAGAACGAAAGUUAGGGGAUCGAAGACGAUCAGAUACCGUCGUAGUCUUAACCAUAAACUAUGCCGACUAGGGAUCGGACGAAGUUAAUUUUAUAAUGACGCGUUCGGCAC